AUGAGGGGAGAGUGGCUUAAACCUGUUAUUUCCCACAAGUUUUAUCUCCAUUCUUCAAACCCAGGUCAACACCCUGAAACCAGGGCCAUGGGAAGCCCUCUCUCCUUGUUCCCCCAACUCUCUCUCUCUCACAGAAAAGGAGCCCUGCAUCCCUCCCUGAGGCCAAGGGGCUACUCUAAAAACUGCUCUAAGAACACUACCACUUUCUACAGGACACCUGAGGUCCCAACGCCCAUGUAUCUCUCAGUGCCUGUCUGGUCCAGAGGGAGCCAGUGGCUCUUGCCAGCACAUCAUCAUUUUGUGCUCCACGAGGGGGUGGUCCAUGGAGUCAUCUCAACUUUCAGCCCAGACCUCACUCACUCUUUCUCCAAGCCACGCCAACAUUCCUUGGUCUCUCCCAAGCCAGGAGACAGCCUCGUUUCCUCUAGAUCAGAGAGAUGGCUUCUGGAUUCAUCUUUCCCUGCAAUCCAGCUUCUCCUCCUGGGGCCCUCAUACUGGAGACUGGGAUCAUCAUCCAGGCUUUUGCACUGGGCCAGGAAUUUGGGAGUCAUCCUGGAUCCGUCUGCCCCUGUCAACCUUUCUCUGUCAAUGGAUAUUUAUUGGGCAUCUCCAACAGCCAGGCCCUGUUCAUGGUGCUGAAGAACAGCAUGUAUAAAACAACCCUGCCCUCACAGGGCGAUCACCAGUGACCUGUGGUGUGGAGUUUCCUUUUACCUCUGUCUCCUCCUUCCCACUCUCACCAUCCUUGGUCCUCCUCUGUCACCUGGAAUACUCCACUUGGUAACCAGCAUGAUCUUAUAAUGCUAGUUUUACCCUUGUCAGCACUUUGCCAAAAACCUCAAAUAAAGACUUUUUUUAAAAUGUGCAAUGGAAAAAUAAAGUUAUAAAUUAUAUCAUAACCAUUGGACCUCUUUUUAAAAUGCACUGAAGCCUUAUAAUGUUAUUCAUGGAUAUAUAUCUAUGGUAAAAAUAGAAAAAAUAUGUGAUGGUGGUGCCUCUGAAAGGGAGGGGAAUGGUACUGGGGAAGGGACAAAGGGAACUUCAACUUUAUCGGUAAUGACCUGUUUAUUUUGAAAACUCAAGAGCAAAAUUGACAAAAUUUUAACAGUAACUUAACAAAACCUCAAGUCUGGAUAGUGGGUUCAAGAGUGUUACUUUAUAUGGACAGGCAGUGACUCAUGCCUAUAAUCCCAGCACUUUCAGAAGCCAAGGCAGGAGGAUCUCUUGAGCCCAGCCAUCCUCCCGCCUUGGUCUCUUGAAGUUUGAGACUAGCCUGGGCAGCAUAGUGAGACCCUGUCUCUACAAAAAAAAAAUUAACAGCAACUCAGGAGGCUGAGGCAGAAGGAUUGCUUGAGUACGGGAGGUCAAGGCUGCAGUGAGCUAUGACUGAGCCACUUCACUCCAACCUGGAUGAUAAAGCAAGACUCUGUCUCAAAAAAAAAAAAAAAAGUGUUGCCUGUAAUCCCAGCACUUUGGGAGGCUGAGGCAGGUGGAUCACUUGAGCUCAGGAGUUCGAGACCAGCCUGGCCAACAUGGCGAAACCCUGUCUCUACCAAAAAUACAAAACAUUAGCCAGAUGUGGUGGGAUCAGUCUGUAGUCCCAGCUACUCAGGAGGCUAAGGCAGGAGAAUCACUUGAACCCAGGAAGCGCAGGUUGCAGUGAGCCAAGAUCUCACCACUGCACUCUAGCCUGGGUGACAGAGUGAGACUCCAUCUCAAAAAAAAAAAAAAAAAAAAAAGGAGUGUUACAUUAGUUGUCUAUAUUGUAGAUACACUUGUCAAAAUUUAAGCCAUAAAACCCUCAGUGUCCCUCACUGUUCCCACCCCCUUAGCCUGGCAUACUGGGUCUUUCACAAGCUUGUGUCAACCUCCUCUACAGACUCAUCUCUACACUGAAGGACUUGCAGUUUCCAAGUGCUCUGGCCUUGGGGCCUUUGCCCAUGCUGUUCUCUUCUGAAUGCCCUUUCCUGCUUUGCUACUUUGUUCUUGCCCUUCUGGAUUCAGCUCCUGGGAGGCCCUGUGGAUAGAAGUCAGAUGGCUCAAGUAGGCAGCUGGUUAGGACCCAGGAGACAGAAACGUGUCUGGGGAGGACAACACUUUCUUGUCCUGGUUUCUAUUCAGCUGCAACUAGAGAAACAGAUCACCUGUUUCUUGUUCAAAACUAGGAUCAGUGAGAGGAGGGUGGAAAGGGUAAGAUCCUCCACAGUACCCUCCCACCUCCCAGCCUCUUGCCACAUAGACUAGCCCCAAGGCAGAAACUUCCCAGCAGAAAAAGGAAAACUGAUAACCUCAUUCCUUGGUCUAGCUCUGUUAGGAUUAUCAUCUGGUUUCCCCUGCUGGUGUUGGAAGAGCUGUGUUGGUGCAGGCCAGUGCUAUCCUGUGACUAGAGGGAAG
This is a long non-coding RNA of Pan troglodytes (chimpanzee), 2394 nucleotides long. The record is from Ensembl. Lineage: Eukaryota; Metazoa; Chordata; Mammalia; Primates; Hominidae.